RNAcentral lists this ribosomal RNA (805 nucleotides) under uncultured bacterium. RNAcentral's name for it is "bacterial SSU rRNA". It matches the Rfam family "Bacterial small subunit ribosomal RNA", at positions 8 to 793 of the family's 1533-position model. The record is from RNAcentral.
AGAGUUUGAUCCUGGCUCAGGACGAACGCUGGCGGCGUGCCUAAUACAUGCAAGUCGAACGCUUCCUACCGGUGCUUGCACCGGGAAAGAAGAGUGGCGGACGGGUGAGUAACACGUGGGUAACCUACCUACAAGCGGGGGAUAACAUUCGGAAACGGAUGCUAAUACCGCAUAGAUCAUUUUGCCUCCUGGCAUGAUGAAGAAAGACGGUUUCGGCUGUCACUUGUAGAUGGACCCGCGGCGCAUUAGUUAGUUGGUGGGGUAAUGGCUCACCAAGACGAUGAUGCGUAGCCGACCUGAGAGGGUGAUCGGCCACACUGGGACUGAGACACGGCCCAGACUCCUACGGGAGGCAGCAGUAGGGAAUCUUCCGCAAUGGACGAAAGUCUGACGGAGCAACGCCGCGUGAGUGAAGAAGGUUUUCGGAUCGUAAAACUCUGUUGUUAGAGAAGAACAAGGAUGAGAGUAACUGCUCGUCCCUUGACGGUAUCUAACCAGAAAGCCAUGGCUAACUACGUGCCAGCAGCCGCGGUAAUACGUAGAUGGCAAGCGUUGUCCGGAUUUAUUGGGCGUAAAGCGAGCGCAGGCGGUUCUUUAAGUCUGAUGUGAAAGCCCCUGGCUUAACCAGGGAGGGUCAUUGGAAACUGGAGAACUUGAGUGCAGAAGAGGAAAGUGGAAUUCCAUGUGUAGCGGUGAAAUGCGUAGAUAUAUGGAGGAACACCAGUGGCGAAGGCGACUUUCUGGUCUGUAACUGACGCUGAGGCUCGAAAGCAUGGGGAGCAAACAGGAUUAGAUACCCUGGUAG